This 24-nucleotide small nuclear RNA is filed under the name Arabidopsis thaliana (thale cress). RNAcentral's name for it is "snRNA_01220". Lineage: Eukaryota; Viridiplantae; Streptophyta; Magnoliopsida; Brassicales; Brassicaceae. The record is from RNAcentral.
UUUAAUCUCGAUAAAACUACACGU